ACCCUCUCAGAGUCACACCUGGAGAAUUCCCCGUACUCUACCAGUCUCGAAUUUGGGAGGGAAAGUCAAGCAGAGACAUAUCCAUUCCACUUCUAGCUUGGGCAGUGGCUAGUGAGUGAAAGGCAAUCUGCUACAAGU
Molecule: small nucleolar RNA, 138 nt
Organism: Tachyglossus aculeatus (Australian echidna)
Lineage: Eukaryota; Metazoa; Chordata; Mammalia; Monotremata; Tachyglossidae
Source: RefSeq, a predicted model, not a curated record